GGCUCAGAUUGAACGCUGGCGGCAGACCUAACACAUGCAAGUCGAGCGGUAACAGGGGAAGCUUGCUUCUCGCUGACGAGCGGCGGACGGGUGAGUAAUGUAUGGGGAUCUGCCCGAUAGAGGGGGAUAACCACUGGAAACGGUGGCUAAUACCGCAUAAUCUCUUAGGAGCAAAGCAGRGGAACUUCGGUCCUUGCGCUAUCGRAUGAACCCAUAUGSGAUUAGCUAGUAGGUGGGGUAAUGGYUCACCUAGGCGACGAUCCCUAGCUGGUYUGARAGGAUGAUCAGCCMCMCUGGGACUGAGACMCGGCCCAGAYUCYUACGGGAGGCASCAGUGGGGAWUWUUGCACAAUGGGCGCAAKCCUGAUGCAGCCAUGCCGCGUGUAUGAAGAAGGCCYUAGGKUUGUAAAGUACUUUCAGUCGGGAGGAAGGCGUUGAUGCUAAUAUCAUCAACGAUUGMCGUUACCGACARAARAAGCACCGGCUAACUCCGUGCCASCAGCCGCGGUAAUACGGAGGGUGCAAGCGUUWAUCGGAAUUACUGGGCGUAAAGCGCACSCAGGCGGUUGAUUAAGUUARAUGUGAAAUCCCCGGGCUUAACCUGGGAAUGSCAUCUAAGACUGGUCAGCUAGAGUCUUGUAGAGGGGGGUAGAAUUCCAUGUGUAGCGGUGAAAUGCGUAGAGAUGUGGAGGAAUACCGGUGGCGAAGGCGGCCCCCUGGACAAAGACUGACGCUCAGGUGCGAAAGCGUGGGGAGCAAACAGGAUUAGAUACCCUGGUAGUCCACGCUGUAAACGARUCGAUUUGAAGKUUGUUCCCUUGAGGAGUGGCUUUCGGAGCUAACG
RNAcentral lists this ribosomal RNA (844 nucleotides) under Providencia vermicola. RNAcentral's name for it is "partial 16S ribosomal RNA". The record is from RNAcentral. Lineage: Bacteria; Pseudomonadati; Pseudomonadota; Gammaproteobacteria; Enterobacterales; Morganellaceae.